Molecule: ribosomal RNA, 780 nt
Filed under: Bacillus subtilis
Lineage: Bacteria; Bacillati; Bacillota; Bacilli; Caryophanales; Bacillaceae
Description: bacterial SSU rRNA
Rfam family: Bacterial small subunit ribosomal RNA
Source: RNAcentral
GCUCAACCGGGGAGGGUCAUAGAAACUGGGGAACUUGAGUGCAGAAGAGGAGAAGUGGGAAUUCCACGUGUAGCGGUGAAAUGCGUAGAAGAUGUGGAGGAACACCAAUGCGAAGGCGACUCUCUGGUCUGUAAACUGACGCUGAGGAGCGAAAGCGUGGGGAGCGAACAGGAUUAGAUACCCUGGUAGUCCACGCCGUAAACGAUGAGUGCUAAAGUGUUAGGGGGUUUCCGCCCCUUAGUGCUGCAGCUAACGCAUUAAGCACUCCGCCUGGGGAGUACGGUCGCAAGACUGAAACUCAAAGGAAUUGACGGGGGGCCGCACAAGCGGUGGAGCAUGUGGUUUAAUUCGAAGCAACGCGAAGAACCUUACCAGGUCUUGACAUCCUCUGACAAUCCUAGAGAUAGGACGUCCCCUUCGGGGGCAGAGUGACAGGUGGUGCAUGGUUGUCGUCAGCUCGUGUCGUGAGAUGUUGGGUUAAGUCCCGCAACGAGCGCAACCCUUGAUCUUAGUUGCCAGCAUUCAGUUGGGCACUCUAAGGUGACUGCCGGUGACAAACCGGAGGAAGGUGGGGAUGACGUCAAAUCAUCAUGCCCCUUAUGACCUGGGCUACACACGUGCUACAAUGGACAGAACAAAGGGCAGCGAAACCGCGAGGUUAAGCCAAUCCCACAAAUCUGUUCUCAGUUCGGAUCGCAGUCUGCAACUCGACUGCGUGAAGCUGGAAUCGCUAGUAAUCGCGGAUCAACAUGCCGCGGUGAAUACGUUCCCGGGCCUUGU